RNAcentral lists this ribosomal RNA (460 nucleotides) under uncultured bacterium. RNAcentral describes it as "partial 16S ribosomal RNA". It matches the Rfam family "Bacterial small subunit ribosomal RNA", at positions 338 to 795 of the family's 1533-position model. The record is from RNAcentral.
CCUACGGGUGGCAGCAGUGAGGAAUAUUGGUCAAUGGACGAGAGUCUGAACCAGCCAAGUAGCGUGAAGGAUGACUGCCCUAUGGGUUGUAAACUUCUUUUAUAAAGGAAUAAAACGAGGCACGUGUGCCUUUUUGCAAGUACUUUAUGAAUAAGCAUCGGCUAACUCCGUGCCAGCAGCCGCGGUAAUACGGAGGAUCCGAGCGUUAUCCGGAUUUAUUGGGUUUAAAGGGAGCGUAGAUGGGUAGUUAAGUCCGUGGUGAAAGUUUGCGGCUCAACCGUAUAAUUGCAGUUGAAACUGGCAGUCUUGAGUGAAGGUGAGGUAGGCGGAAUGCGUGGUGUAGCGGUGAAAUGCAUAGAUAUCACGCAGAACCCCGAUUGCGAAGGCAGCUUACUAAACUGUAACUGACACUGAUGCACGAAAGUGUGGGUAUCAAACAGGAUUAGAUACCCGGGUAGUC